This 295-nucleotide ribosomal RNA is filed under the name uncultured soil bacterium. RNAcentral describes it as "partial 16S ribosomal RNA". It matches the Rfam family "Bacterial small subunit ribosomal RNA", at positions 26 to 323 of the family's 1533-position model. The record is from RNAcentral.
AGAUUGAACGCUGGCGGCAGGCCUAACACGUGCAAGUCGAGCGGUAGAGAGGUGCUUGCAUCUCUUGAGAGCGGCGGACGGGUGAGUAAUGCCUAGGAAUCUGCCUAGUGGUGGGGGAUAACGUUCGGAAACGGACGCUAAUACCGCAUACGUCCUACGGGAGAAAGCGGGGGACCUUCGGGCCUCGCGCCAUUAGAUGAGCCUAGGUCGGAUUAGCUAGUUGGUGAGGUAAUGGCUCACCAAGGCGACGAUCCGUAACUGGUCUGAGAGGAUGAUCAGUCACACUAGAACUGAG